RNAcentral lists this ribosomal RNA (427 nucleotides) under uncultured Halomonas sp. RNAcentral describes it as "bacterial SSU rRNA". It matches the Rfam family "Bacterial small subunit ribosomal RNA", at positions 355 to 774 of the family's 1533-position model. The record is from RNAcentral. Lineage: Bacteria; Pseudomonadati; Pseudomonadota; Gammaproteobacteria; Oceanospirillales; Halomonadaceae.
UGGGGAAUAUUGGACAAUGGGCGAAAGCCUGAUCCAGCCAUGCCGCGUGUGUGAAGAAGGCCCUCGGGUUGUAAAGCACUUUCAGUGGGGAAGAAAGCCUCGGGAUUAAUACUUCCGAGGAAGGACAUCACCCACAGAAGAAGCACCGGCUAACUCCGUGCCAGCAGCCGCGGUAAUACGGAGGGUGCGAGCGUUAAUCGGAAUUACUGGGCGUAAAGCGCGCGUAGGCGGUCUGAUCAGCCGGUUGUGAAAGCCCCGGGCUCAGCCUGGGAACGGCAUCCGGAACUGUCAGGCUAGAGUGCAGGAGAGGAAGGUAGAAUUCCCGGUGUAGCGGUGAAAUGCGUAGAGAUCGGGAGGAAUACCAGCGGCGAAGGCGGCCUUCUGGACUGACACUGACGCUGAGGUGCGAAAGCGUGGGUAGCAAACA